Molecule: ribosomal RNA, 483 nt
Filed under: uncultured bacterium
Lineage: Bacteria
Description: bacterial SSU rRNA
Rfam family: Bacterial small subunit ribosomal RNA
Source: RNAcentral
AUUGAACGCUGGCGGCAUGCUUUACACAUGCAAGUCGAACGGCAGCGCGGGGGCAACCCUGGCGGCGAGUGGCGAACGGGUGAGCAAUGUAUCGGAACGUAUCCUGUAAUGGGGGAUAACCAGUCGAAAGAUUGGGUAAUACCGCAUACGAUCUACGGAUGAAAGCGGGGGAUCGCAAGACCUCGCGCGAUUGGAGCGGCCGAUAUCAGAUUAGCUAGUUGGUGGGGUAAAAGCUCACCAAGGCGACGAUCUGUAGCUGGUCUGAGAGGACGACCAGCCACACUGGAACUGAGACACGGUCCAGACUCCUACGGGAGGCAGCAGUGGGGAAUUUUGGACAAUGGGCGCAAGCCUGAUCCAGCAAUGCCGCGUGCAGGAUGAAGGCCUUGGGUUGUAAACUGCUUUGUACGGAACGAACGGUGAGCUCUAAUAAAGCUUGCUAAUGACGGUACCGUAAGAAUAAGCACCGGCUAACUACGUGCC